GCGAGGGGCGGGGCUGCGGGCGGCCCAGGAGCGCGGCGCUAAUGGCGGGGCCGGUGAAGGACCGCGAGGCCUUCCGGAGGCUCAGCUUCUUGUACCAGGCCGCGCAUUGUGUCCUUGCCCAGGACCCCGAGAACCAGGCGCUGGCAAGAUUUUACUGCCACACGGAGAGGACCAUCGCGAAGCGGCUCGUCUUGCGGCGGGACCCUUCGGUGAAGAGGACUCUCUGUCGAGGCUGUUCUUCCCUCCUCGUGCCCGGCCUCACCUGCACCCAGCGCCAGAGACAUUCUAAACUACUACAGCCCUUGCCAAACACAGCCCACCCCAUUCCAACCCACCUUCCUGAGGAGAAAAUGCCGACUCAAGGUUCCAGUCACCAGUGAUGGAUUCACCCCAGCUCCCAAAUAUAGUUUACAUGUUUUACGUUCAAAAAAAAAAAAAAAAA
RNA transcript from Sapajus apella (tufted capuchin), 442 nucleotides. It is a transcript of the gene named ribonuclease P protein subunit p21 pseudogene, with no coding region annotated. The transcript has a single exon. The record is from RefSeq and is a predicted model, not a curated record. Lineage: Eukaryota; Metazoa; Chordata; Mammalia; Primates; Cebidae.